UCCUCUGAUCAAACUUCUCUCUGGCUCACAGAAGUCACUGUAAAACCUCUUCCACACAGGAGUGUGGUGGUGAAACCCAGCUUCCUAACUCCAGCCAGAUGGCUGAUCUCAGUCUUCCUUCAUAGAAGGCUAAUUCAAAAAUAGUGAUGUUUCUGUCAAUUUAAAAACAUUUAUUCUAGGACCCUUUUCAAUGUUCCUGCAGAGGUGUAAGUGAUGAAGUCAGCAGCUCAGUCCCCAGCCCAGCCAGCACCCGUGUGUGCUGCAGGCAGCCAGACUUCCACACAGGCAGCAUCCCUCAUUUCACACUUGUUUUAUUUCUGUUGUUUCUCAAUGCUGAUGAAACACCUCAUUUGCUCAUACCAGUGUUGUUCUGUCAUUCUCCACAGGUCUCCUCAAAGAUCCUGGUGCGGGCACUUGGGUGAAGGUUUCAUUUCCUUGGACUGUAAAUGUUCUUUGGAGUCUCAGGCACUUCCCUGCAGCAGAACUUGGAGGAGAAACAUGUCAAACACUCUCUGCUUGGGGUCAGGGCUUGCAAGAGGAGAAAAACAACCCAGGACUCUGGCAGGUGUGGAAGUGACAAUUCCAGCAGUAGAACAGAGUCAGCCCUGCAGCAGCAGCAGCUACAGUAGAAACAACCCCUCCCUGCUACAGGUGAGCCCUCAAAGCCCUCCGUGGCCUGUUAAAGCUUGGAGGACAAGGGCAGGGAGGGCUGUCAUGGGAAUCUUCACUAAAAGCUCUGUGUUGAUGGAGCAACCAAGCCCUGCAUGUGCCACCAGUUCCCCAGGGAAGCAAGCCUUGUCUCUGGGUGUGUGAUUAAGCCAGAGCCUUGUUCCAGCAGUAUUUGCUCACCCUCCUGUUGGCCCUCCCAGGCCUCUCCCUGCUGUGGUCUCUGUUCCCAGGACCUGCUCACAUCACCUUGGAUGAUACCUCUGGCUGCCCACCCAGCCAGGGCAGCUCAGGGGUUGUUGGGGCAGCCACUGUCCCCCAUGCUCUGUCCCUCAGCUCUGGGUUUGAUGUCCCAGUGGCUGCUGCUGCCGUCUUACAGCCCCUCAGGCAGAAAACGGAUCACUCCAGAGCUGUGGGGGCUUUCCACAGGACACCAAGCUCUCCUCAUGGUGUACCCCACACCUUCCUUGCUCUUCUGCUCUCUGAUCCUUCAGGGAGCUGUUUGAGCUCACCAAGUUCUCCCUUCCCCCACAUCCCUGAGCUUUCUGCUGUUCCUGACUGAGAAUGGCAGGAGCAGGAUUGGACUGGGAUGCUCUGACCCUUCUGACAGCAGCUCAGCCAACGGAUGAAGGCACAUUUUUAUCAGCACGUGCUUGUUUUUGUGAACAUUAAUCAUAUAAAACUACUGGA
This is a non-coding RNA of Taeniopygia guttata (zebra finch), 1356 nucleotides long. The record is from RefSeq and is a predicted model, not a curated record. Lineage: Eukaryota; Metazoa; Chordata; Aves; Passeriformes; Estrildidae.